RNAcentral lists this ribosomal RNA (497 nucleotides) under uncultured bacterium. RNAcentral describes it as "partial 16S ribosomal RNA". It matches the Rfam family "Bacterial small subunit ribosomal RNA", at positions 28 to 507 of the family's 1533-position model. The record is from RNAcentral.
GAUGAACGCUGGCGGCGUGCCUAAUACAUGCAAGUCGAGCGAACAGACGAGGAGCUUGCUCCUCUGACGUUAGCGGCGGACGGGUGAGUAACACGUGGAUAACCUACCUAUAAGACUGGGAUAACUUCGGGAAACCGGAGCUAAUACCGGAUAAUAUAUUGAACCGCAUGGUUCAAUAGUGAAAGACGGUUUUGCUGUCACUUAUAGAUGGAUCCGCGCCGCAUUAGCUAGUUGGUAAGGUAACGGCUUACCAAGGCGACGAUGCGUAGCCGACCUGAGAGCGUGGUCCGCCACACUGGAACUGAGACACGGUCCAGACUCCUACAGGAGGCAGCAGUAGGGAAUCUUCCGCAAUGGGCGAAAGCCUGACGGAGCAACGCCGCGUGAGUGAUGAAGGUCUUCGGAUCGUAAAACUCUGUUAUUAGGGAAGAACAAAUGUGUAAGUAACUAUGCACGUCUUGACGGUACCUAAUCAGAAAGCCACGGCUAACUACGUG